Mustela erminea (ermine) is the source of this 3579-nucleotide long non-coding RNA. RefSeq lists it as uncharacterized. NCBI's taxonomy places the organism in Eukaryota, Metazoa, Chordata, Mammalia, Carnivora, Mustelidae. The transcript is spliced from 3 exons. The record is from RefSeq and is a predicted model, not a curated record.
CUGUCUUGGCAUUCCUUUAAAAAAAAAAAAAGCCUAUUUUUGAAAAAAAAAUACUGUUUUGGAAAGAAUGACAUAUGUCUAUUCAAACAUGUCAUUUAUGCAUUUAAUAGUAUAUCUAGGACACCUUUCUAUAGUUGCAUGAGAUAUAAUAUCUUCUUGAGCCAGCUUCCUUUUGGACUUGAGGACACUGGACAGACAUUGCGAUUGUUUUCCAGAUUUUUUUCUUUCAUUUUUUUGUAAAUGAAUAAUCUAUCUAUACAGAUACUUUUAUUCACCUGUGAAAAGCAAUCUGAAGGAUCUAGCCCUAGAAGUCAAAUUUCUGGGUCAAAGCAUGUAGGUUUUUAAAUUUAGUAGAUAUUGUCAUUCUUCAAAACUUUAAUACCAGUUUAUACCUCUCCCAGUGGUAUAUUUGAGUGCCCUAUUUCCCACACUCUUGAAUUUAAUCAUUACCCAUUGUUAGCAUCUCAUUUUGAUUUGCAUUUCGUACAUUUUGAACGAGUUUAAAGAUACUUUUAUAUAUUUUCAAGUUAUUUUUACUUCCCAGUGAAUAAUCAUCACCCGUUUUCCAGUGGCUAUCUUUUUCUUAGCAGUUUAUAAAAAUUCUGUGCAUAUUAAAUUUUUACUGCAGAUAUUUUCCCCAGCUUAUGUUUAUUUUUUGCUUAUACUUGUUUUUUUGUUUGAUUUGGUUUUUGCUUUUCUAAAAAACAAUUGUAGUUUUGUUUUGUUUGGGUUGUUUGUUUUUUGGCUACUAGGUUUUAUGUCAUGAUUGAAGGCCUUCCUAUACUUAAAAAUUAAUUUAAAAAUUUUAUUCAUAUUUUCUUUAAGUAAUUUUAUAGUUUUAUAUUUAAACUUUAAAUGUGGUAUAUCUGGAGUUUGUUUUGGCUUAAUGAAUGAACGUAGAGAGCCAGCCUUAAGUUUUCCAAAUGGCUAGCUGUGGUCUAAACACCACUUUUUGAGCACUCUCUUCUUCCCAUAGAUUCCUCAAAUUUGAGAUUUAAGGUUUUCUGACUGAUAAAUAUUUUGUGUUUACAGUACCAUUUAGGUAAAACAGUAUGGAAUUGUAUUGGAAAAACUGUGCAUGUAAUAUUUAUUAUAGAAUUUCCAUGUAAAUUAAUGCUGCUCCUACAGCUAAACACUACAAGGAAGAAACAGCUAUGAUCAGAGGAAAAAAAGCAUGCAUACGGUUUUUGCUUAGAUUAGGAGAUGAGAUGUGUAUGUGUCAGAAGGGAGAUCUUAGAAUGUGUAAAGUACUAGAAUCAAAAAGUAAACUUCUAAGAAGAGACCAUAAUAAUCAGGUUGCAGGUUUGCUCCUGGUAUAUCAUGUAACCCUUUUUGUUAAAAAACAAAAACAGUCUAAACUAAGGAAAUUAUUUGAAUCAGAAUGUAUUUCACAUUGGAUAUUCUUAAAAUAAUAGACAUUUUUAUAGAAAUUCGGUUCUGUGAUUUGUUGACAGUUGUAACUAACUUACUGGAAUUCAUUGAUCUUCUUAAAGGAGAGACCACUAUGUUAUUCCUGAUGAGACAAGUGGAGUUUUAUGCUCUAAGCGAAAGACAUGAGGCCUAAGACUGAGAUGAGGUUGUUUUGAGGCCAUCUGAUUUCUGACUAGAAGGUGUGCGAUCGCCUCGUCCUGAAACCACUUCAAACAGAAUGGUUUGCAAUUUUUUUUGGUGAUGGCAUGUUCAGAAUCUUGGAUCCCUAAGUUGAAUAUGUUGGAAAUAUUUAGGAACUCUGGAAAUUAUUGUUUUGUGUAUAUAAUGACUUACUAGGUGAAUCAGUAGAUUUAAUAAAAAAGAAUAUAAAAAAGAAUAGGUAUUCUAAUUUUGUGUUUCUAAGUUGACAUUCAUGCCUCAGAUUCUCAUCUUUCAGUAUUAGUGUCAUUCCCUGGAGACAGUUACAUUUUGAAUAUUUGGGGGUUUUUAUGGACCCCAUGUUUUCCCAGUUUAUGUAAUCCUCCCAUGCUGAUUUGGUCAGCUCCUUUUCCUUUCUAUCUACCUUGCCAUGUAGCUUACUUAGAUCAGAGGUAAUUAUUGAUCAGGAAGAGAUCAAGUGACAAUCCUAGAGGUAGUAAUUACAGAAUUUCAGCCUGGAAAUGACCUCGGAAUAGUCUGUUAUACCCAAAUACACUUGUGACCAGAUGCUGCUGAUUUCCAAAUUGGAUAUUAUUAUGUAGGACAGAAGUGCUAAUGGAGAGGAGAAAGGCUCUUCCGUUUCCCCUCCUCCCUCUCUUGCUGUUGUUGGGUGCAUGAAUUAGUGGAAAGUAAGACGGCUAAGAGAUAGACAGUAUAAAUGGAAAGGAGAAAAAACAAAACUUGCAUCUCCAAGAAGGAAUAUUUCCCCUUAAAAAUUUGAAAGUUAGCUCUAUUCCAAGUACCUGAACACACUAUUUUAAAACCAUAGGCUCACUUUCAUGUAGACCCAGAAUGUGAACUAGCGUAUGGUUGCCCAGAGGAUAGCUGGAGAACUUGUUAUUUGAUAGGAGAGUCAGAUAGUCCUUGGGUGAGUCUGUCGUUGACUGCUCAGAUGAAGAGAUUUGAAGAACAUCAUGGAGCAGUUAUUUUCAUAGUCAAAUACAACAGCCUCCCUAUCCCUUUGACCAAAACCCGGGAAGGCUUGCUUUUUAAGAAUGUGUUUAGAACAGCUUGAAAAAGGAUCAUAGGGAAAGGCUGAAGAGAAUUCACGAAGCUAUAGAGACUGAGUGGUAGCAAGUUUUAUCAUUGGUAGAUUAUCCAAAAAUGUGGAAGUUUUUGUAUGAUCAGAGUUUUCAUACUGUUUCUAUUAGAAGGCUUCUAGAAGCUAAAUAAGAUAGACUGUAGCACCCUCCACCCCUUUGCUUUGCUUUAAGAGGAUUUGACUGAUAUAUAUAUAUAAUAGAUGGCACAAUGAAAACAUUAGAUUUUUAAAAAUCGAGUUACAUUUUAAUUUAAAUGUGUGUUGCCUAUUUGCUACUUUCCCAUUACAACUAGCUUUUAAAAUACUCUCCUUCUGUGAUACUUUUGUCAAUAGAGGUGUUUCCUCUUAGCCAAUUCUAGCCACAGUAUUGACUAGGACUCGGCAUUUGAUAUACCCAGAAGGAAUUAGACAGGCAGGGAAAAACUUGGUCUCUACUGGAAUGAAUAUUUUAAAAACCUUUUUAGAUUCUGAACACUUGGAGUACAAAGGAAAGAGACCCAAGAAAGGGAAAAAUGUAAGAGCCCAAGAAAAAAAAACGGUGGUGGGCGUGGGGAAUAAACUCUCACACAGCUGACCUAAGUGCAUUAAGGGAAGGAAGUGAAGUUCCUGGAGAUGAGGAGGCAGUAUAUGAAAUCCUGGGACAGCAGGCAUUCUGAUAGUCAGUUGAGCAGUUCAUACUAGCAAGUGGUAGUAGUUUAAGGCUAGUGACAGGUGAUCUGGGGAAAUAUUAAUGUACUUCCUAACAAUGAGUUUGAUUUUUAUUUUAGUGGGUUAUAAAUGGGUAUGCAGCUCAAAGAUGAACAUAAUUCAAGAUAAGUAUCUUCAGUCUUAGAGAAAAUAUAAUAAAAAAUGGAUCUUUUGUCCUAUUGUAUAACUUUAGAAAGUAAUGUAGAAUACGGAGCAUAAUA